GGGCCGUUAGCUCAGGCUGGUCAGAGCACCUGCCUUUUAAGCAGGGUGUCGCUGGUUCAAAUCCAGCACGGCUCACCU
This 78-nucleotide transfer RNA is filed under the name Anaerolineae bacterium. Its description in RNAcentral is "tRNA-Lys". It matches the Rfam family "tRNA". From Rfam's summary of the family: Transfer RNA (tRNA) molecules are approximately 80 nucleotides in length. Their secondary structure includes four short double-helical elements and three loops (D, anti-codon, and T loops). Lineage: Bacteria; Bacillati; Chloroflexota; Anaerolineae. The record is from RNAcentral.